This 253-nucleotide ribosomal RNA is filed under the name uncultured bacterium. RNAcentral describes it as "partial 16S ribosomal RNA". It matches the Rfam family "Bacterial small subunit ribosomal RNA", at positions 524 to 776 of the family's 1533-position model. The record is from RNAcentral.
UACAGAGGUGGCAAGCGUUGUUCGGAAUUACUGGGCGUAAAGGGCGCGUAGGCGGCCUUCUAAGUCAGACGUGAAAUCCCCCGGCUUAACCUGGGAACUGCGUCUGAUACUGGGAGGCUAGAGUGCGGGAGAGGGAUGCGGAAUUCCAGGUGUAGCGGUGAAAUGCGUAGAUAUCGAGAGGAACACCUGCGGCGAAGGCGGCGAUCUGGGAAGAUACUGACGCUGAGGUGCGAAAGCGUGGGGAGCAAACAGG